Pelobates cultripes (western spadefoot toad) is the source of this 1505-nucleotide non-coding RNA. The record is from the annotation of a GenBank genome assembly. Lineage: Eukaryota; Metazoa; Chordata; Amphibia; Anura; Pelobatidae.
AUACAGUCUCCUCCUUUACUGUGUUGAUUCCCUUUAUGUAUUUAAAUGUUUCUAUCAUAUCUCCCCUGUCUCGUCUUUCCUCCAAGCUAUACAUGUUAAGAUCCUUUAACCUUUCCUGGUAAGUUUUAUCCCGCAAUCCAUGAACCAGUUUAGUAGCCCUUCUCUGAACCCUCUCUAAGGUAUCAAUAUCCUUCUGAAGAUACGGUCUCCAGUACUGUGUACAAUACUCCAAGUGAGGUCUCACCAGUGUUCUGUACAAUGGCAUGAGCACUUCCCUCUUUCUACUGCUAAUACCUCUCCCUAUACAACCAAGCAUUCUGCUAGCAUUUCCUGCUGCUCUAUUACAUUGUCUGCCUACCUUAAGUCAUCAGAAAUAAUCACCCCUAAAUCCCUUUCCUCAUAUGUUGAGGUUAGGACUCUAUCAAAUAUUCUGUACUCUGCCCUUGGGUUUUUACGUCCAAGAUGCAUUAUCUUGCACUUAUCCACAUUAAAUGUCAGUUGCCACAAUUCUGACCAUUUUUCUAGUUAACCUAAAUCAUUUGUCAUUUGGCUUAUCCCUCUUGGAACAUCAACCCUGUUACAUAUCUUAGUAUCAUCAGCAAAAAGACAUACCUUACCAUCAAGACCUUCUGCAAUAUCACUAAUAAAAAUAUUAAAGAGAAUGGGUCCAAGUACAGAUCCCUGAGGUACCCCACUGGUAAGACUUUGCUUCAAAUAUACUCCAUUGACUACAACCCUCUAUUGUGUCACACAGCCACUGCUUAACUCAAUCAACAAUAUUUGAAUACAAACUCAUGUCUACUGUAUCACCUUGAUCAAUUAUUUUAGUUACCCGAUCAAAAAAACUAAGAUUAUUUUGGCGUUGUCUCUGAUCUUAAAAUCCAUGUGUUUUUAGAUGUUCAACAAUCCUAUCCUUUAACAUGGUUUCCAUCACUUUCCCCACUACUGAAGUAAGGCUUACUGGCCUAUAGUUGCCCGACUCCUCCCUAUUACCUUUUUUGUGAAUGGGCACAACAUUUGCUAACUUCCAAUCUUCUGGGACUACUCCUGUUAACAAUGAGUGGUUAAAUAAAUCUGUUAAUGGUUUUGCUAGUACACCACUAAGCUCUUUUAAUAGCUUUGGGUGUAUUCCAUCAGGUCCCAUUGACUUAUUUGUCUUUGCUUUUGACAGUUGAAAUAGAACCUCUUCCUCUGUAAACUUGCAUGUAAUAAAUGACUCAUUUGUCCCUUUCCUUCAUUUUCAUCUGUAAAUACUGAACAAAAAUAUUAAUUGAGGCAGUCAGCUAGACCUUUAUCCUCUUCUACAUACCUUCCUUCUUUUGUUUUUAAUCUAACUAAUCCUUGUUUUACUUUCAUUUUCUCAUUUAUGUAUCUAAAAAAUGUUUUAUCCCCCUUUUUUACUGACUGUGCUAUUUUCUCUUCUGUGUGUGAUUUGGAAGCUCUUAUAACUUGCUUAGCCUCUUUCUGCCUAAUCUUAUAGAUCAUUCUGAUUUUUAAUAUAAUAA